GCGGGUGUAGCUCAAUGGCCAGAGCCCCUGCCUUCCAAGCAGGCGAUGCGGGUUCGAUUCCCGUCACCCGCU
Molecule: transfer RNA, 72 nt
Filed under: Iamia majanohamensis
Lineage: Bacteria; Bacillati; Actinomycetota; Acidimicrobiia; Acidimicrobiales; Iamiaceae
Description: tRNA-Gly
Rfam family: tRNA
About the family: Transfer RNA (tRNA) molecules are approximately 80 nucleotides in length. Their secondary structure includes four short double-helical elements and three loops (D, anti-codon, and T loops).
Source: RNAcentral